RNAcentral lists this ribosomal RNA (253 nucleotides) under uncultured bacterium. Its description in RNAcentral is "partial 16S ribosomal RNA". It matches the Rfam family "Bacterial small subunit ribosomal RNA", at positions 524 to 776 of the family's 1533-position model. The record is from RNAcentral.
UACGUAGGGGGCAAGCGUUGUCCGGAAUCAUUGGGCGUAAAGCGCGUGUAGGCGGCUCGAUAAGUCUGCUGUGAAAGUUCAGGGCUCAACCCUGAAAUGCCGGUGGAAACUGUCGGGCUAGAGUCCGGAAGAGGCGAGUGGAAUUCCUGGUGUAGCGGUGAAAUGCGCAGAUAUCAGGAGGAACACCAAUGGCGAAGGCAGCUCGCUGGGACGGUACUGACGCUGAGACGCGAAGGCCAGGGGAGCAAACGGG